GAUGAACGCUGGCGGCGUGCCUAAUACAUGCAAGUCUAGCGAACGGACGAGAAGCUUGCUUCUCUGAUGUUAGCGGCGGACGGGUGAGUAACACGUGGAUAACCUACCUAUAAGACUGGGAUAACUUCGGGAAACCGUAGCUAAUACCGGAUAAUAUUUUGAACCGCAUGGUUCAAAAGUGGAAGACGGUCUUGCUGUCACUUAUAGAUGGAUCCGCGCUGCAUUAGCUAGUUGGUAAGGUAACGGCUUACCAAGGCAACGAUGCAUAGCCGACCUGAGAGGGUGAUCGGCCACACUGGAACUGAGACACGGUCCAGACUCCUACGGGAGGCAGCAGUAGGGAAUCUUCCGCAAUGGGCGAAAGCCUGACGGAGCAACGCCGCGUGAGUGAUGAAGGUCUUCGGAUCGUAAAACUCUGUUAUUAGGGAAGAACAUAUGUGUAAGUAACUGUGCACAUCUUGACGGUACCUAAUCAGAAAGCCACGGCUAACUACGUG
RNAcentral lists this ribosomal RNA (497 nucleotides) under uncultured bacterium. Its description in RNAcentral is "partial 16S ribosomal RNA". It matches the Rfam family "Bacterial small subunit ribosomal RNA", at positions 28 to 507 of the family's 1533-position model. The record is from RNAcentral.